This 190-nucleotide unclassified non-coding RNA is filed under the name plant metagenome. Its description in RNAcentral is "partial contains small subunit ribosomal RNA, internal transcribed spacer 1, and 5.8S ribosomal RNA". The record is from RNAcentral.
UUUUCGUAGGUGAACCUGCGGAAGGAUCAUUACAGAGCUGCGACUCCCUCGGGAGCCAUCUCCACCCCUUGACUACCAAAUAUUGUUGCUUUGGCGGGCCCGCCCGCCAGAGACCCCAAACCCUGAGUGUUAGUGUCGUCGGAGUACUAUACAAUAGUUAAAACUUUCAACAACGGAUCUCUUGGUUCUG